AAGUCGUAACAAGGUAACCGUAGGUGAACCUGCGGUUGGAUCAUUAAAAGAAGGGUCGGGAUCAUCGUGGUCCAAGUGGUCCGUCCACUUGGACCACGAUGAUACCGGUGAUCCCGGAGGAAGGAAGCAGGGGCGGGUUGCUCAGGCAUCCCCUGCUCUGCUUUUUGUCCCCACGUUGUGUGAGUUUUUUUAGUUUUUUUUUUUUACUUGUCCUCUGGACGCAAAACCAAAGAAAACAACUUUUGGCAACGGAUCUCUUGGCUCUC
RNAcentral lists this unclassified non-coding RNA (266 nucleotides) under fungal sp. Its description in RNAcentral is "partial internal transcribed spacer region". The stretch from base 1 to 46 matches the Rfam family "Eukaryotic small subunit ribosomal RNA", at positions 1786 to 1831 of the family's 1831-position model. The record is from RNAcentral. Lineage: Eukaryota; Fungi.